AGAUAUAUUUAAGAAAAAAAAUCAAAUUAAGCAAAUAUCAAUGCAAAUACUUUUUGCAUUUUCUACAAUAUCAGUGUAUUCCAUUGUGCAAAAAGGUUCAGGAGAUUAAUUUCUGGCAUUUCUUUUCUUUUAAAAAAAAAAAGGACACAGAGAAAUCUAGAAUCACUUUUCACAAAUACAAAUGCUCUUGUUAAGAGUUUACAUGACCUAGCACUUGUUUCAAAAACCAUAUGAUACAUCCAAUAAAUCUUUCUUCAAGAUCACCAAAGUAACGAAGAACUUACCUAUUUUNNNUCACAAUCCCAUUCUGAUUCACAGUAAUCAACCUCAAUUCGCUUUCGCUAACUUCACAGCAGCUCAAAACCAGCAUCAUGGCCAUCAACAAAGCACAGUAACAAGAGAUCUUCUCAGCCAUUAUAGUUGAUGAAGAAAUACCCACCACCAUUUUCUUUACGAUUCCUGCUUCUUUAAUUAAUUAUCUUGGUUGUAAAAGCUUUUGCUUAAAGAUAUAGCUAUGAAUAAUGAGAGCUGUCUAUUGAGGUAUCUUGAUAGGUAAAGAAUAUUAAUUCGUGUAUGCAUAAACAAAAGAGUGCUAAAUAAGAGAAAAAAGAAAAAGGAGCAAUGUUUUCUGUAUUAGGUAGUUGAAGUGGGUGGUGUAGUUUCUGGCGGGAGUUGAGAUGGUUCCUUCAGUGUGGUAGGUAACUUUGUCAACAUAAUUCAAAAUGUUGAAAGAAGAAAGAG
RNAcentral lists this long non-coding RNA (741 nucleotides) under Ricinus communis (castor bean). Its description in RNAcentral is "long non-coding RNA (RCOM_LNC002355)". The record is from RNAcentral. Lineage: Eukaryota; Viridiplantae; Streptophyta; Magnoliopsida; Malpighiales; Euphorbiaceae.